CGAGUGAAGCGGCAACAGCUCAAAUUUGAAAUCUGGCCUUUAGCCCGAGUUGUAAUUUGUAGAGGAUGCUUUUGGUGCGGUGCCUUCUGAGUUCCCUGGAACGGGACGCCAUAGAGGGUGAGAGCCCCGUAUAGUCGGACACUAAGCCUAUGUAAAGCUCCUUCGACGAGUCGAGUAGUUUGGGAAUGCUGCUCAAAAUGGGAGGUAUAUUUCUUCUAAAGCUAAAUACCGGCCAGAGACCGAUAGCGCACAAGUAGAGUGAUCGAAAGAUGAAAAGCACUUUGAAAAGAGGGUUAAAUAGCACGUGAAAUUGUUGAAAGGGAAGCGCUUAUGACCAGACUUGUUCCAGGUUGAUCAUCCAGUGUUCUCACUGGUGCACUCUGCCUGGGUCAGGCCAGCGUCGGUUCUCGUAGGGGGAUAAAAGCUUCGGGAACGUGGCUCCUCCGGGAGUGUUAUAGCCCGUUGUAUAAUACCUUUAUGGGGACCGAGGUUCGCGCUCUGCAAGGACGCUGGCGUAAUGGUCAUCAGCGACCCGUCUUGAAACACGGACCAAGGAGUCGAGGUUUUGCGCGAGUGUUUGGGUGUUAAACCCGCACGCGUAAUGAAAGUGAACGUAGAUGAGAGCUUCGGCGCAUCAUCGACCGAUCCUGAUGUAUUCGGAUGGAUUUGAGUAAGAGCGUAUAGCCUCGGACCCGAAAGAUGGUGAACUAUGCCUGUAUAGGGUGAAGCCAGAGGAAACUCUGGUGGAGGCUCGCAGCGGUUCUGACGUGCAAAUCGAUCGUCAAAUAUGGGCAUGGGGGCGAAAGACUAAUCGAACCAUCUAGUAGCUGGUUACCGCCGAAGUUUCCCUCAGGAUAGCAGUGUUGUUCUUCAGUUUUAUGAGGUAAAGCGAAUGAUUAGGGACUCGGGGGCGCUAUUUAGCCUU
RNAcentral lists this ribosomal RNA (925 nucleotides) under Cordana aquatica. RNAcentral describes it as "partial large subunit ribosomal RNA". It matches the Rfam family "Eukaryotic large subunit ribosomal RNA", at positions 90 to 1048 of the family's 3401-position model. Lineage: Eukaryota; Fungi; Ascomycota; Sordariomycetes; Coniochaetales; Cordanaceae. The record is from RNAcentral.